RNAcentral lists this long non-coding RNA (248 nucleotides) under Vigna radiata. Its description in RNAcentral is "long non-coding RNA (VRAD_LNC007390)". The record is from RNAcentral. Lineage: Eukaryota; Viridiplantae; Streptophyta; Magnoliopsida; Fabales; Fabaceae.
CAGAGAUAAUACGAGUUACAUUUCAUAGUCCAUCUUCAAUGAACCAAUAACUUGGGCCGAAAUAGAUUAAACUUACCACUCCUAAUUAAUCACCACCAACGUUGAUCAAGAAUGUCAUAUGAAAGUGGAAGAGUCAUUCCACUGUCCUAGCAUUUUGUCAUGAUAAAAUUAAUUAAUAGAAAAGUUAUUUUUUGUGACCAUGAAAAUAUCUUCAUGUAAUAACCUUGUAAAUUUGUUGGCUUGAAGGC